GACGAACGCUGGCGGCGUGCCUAAUACAUGCAAGUUGAGCGCUGAAGGUUGGUACUUGUACCAACUGGAUGAGCAGCGAACGGGUGAGUAACGCGUGGGGAAUCUGCCUUUGAGCGGGGGACAACAUUUGGAAACGAAUGCUAAUACCGCAUAAAAACUUUAAACACAAGUUUUAAGUUUGAAAGAUGCAAUUGCAUCACUCAAAGAUGAUCCCGCGUUGUAUUAGCUAGUUGGUGAGGUAAAGGCUCACCAAGGCGAUGAUACAUAGCCGACCUGAGAGGGUGAUCGGCCACAUUGGGACUGAGACACGGCCCAAACUCCUACGGGAGGCAGCAGUAGGGAAUCUUAGGCAAUGGACGAAAGUCUGACCGAGCAACGCCGCGUGAGUGAAGAAGGUUGUCGGAUCGUAAAACUCUGUUGGUAGAGAAGAACGUUGGUGAGAGUGGAAAGCUCAUCAAGUGACGGUAACUACCCAGAAAGGGACGGCUAACUACGUG
RNAcentral lists this ribosomal RNA (497 nucleotides) under uncultured bacterium. RNAcentral's name for it is "partial 16S ribosomal RNA". It matches the Rfam family "Bacterial small subunit ribosomal RNA", at positions 28 to 507 of the family's 1533-position model. The record is from RNAcentral.